CCUACGGGUGACAGCAGUGAGGAAUAUUGGUCAAUGGGCGCGAGCCUGAACCAGCCAAGUAGCGUGAAGGAUGACUGCCCUACGGGUUGUAAACUUCUUUUAUAAAGGAAUAAAGUGAGGCACGUGUGCCUUUUUGUAUUUACUUUAUGAAUAAGGAUCGGCUAACUCCGUGCCAGCAGCCGCGGUAAUACGGAGGAUCCGAGCGUUAUCCGGAUUUAUUGGGUUUAAAGGGAGCGUAGAUGGGUUGUUAAGUCAGGUGUGAAAUUUUGCGGCUCAACCGUAAAAUUGCAAUUGAUACUGGCAGACUUGAGUUCAGUAGAGGUAGGCGGAAUUCGAGGUGUAGCGGUGAAAUGCUUAGAUAUCACGAAGAACACCGAUUGCGAAGGCAGCUUACUAAACUGCCACUGACAUUGAUGCACGAAAGUGUGGGUAUCAAACAGGAUUAGAUACCCCAGUAGUC
RNAcentral lists this ribosomal RNA (460 nucleotides) under uncultured bacterium. RNAcentral describes it as "partial 16S ribosomal RNA". It matches the Rfam family "Bacterial small subunit ribosomal RNA", at positions 338 to 795 of the family's 1533-position model. The record is from RNAcentral.